ACCCCCCAUAUUUCAGUCAACCUUCCCAAAUCCCUUAAAAAUAUUUAAUUCUAUAUAAUUGAUAAUUAUGGUACAAUUGACAUACUCAACUCCUUUUUAAAAAGGUGUUAGGUAUCAAUAGAGACCUGUUUGAGCGCAGGGUACUACUCACCUCUCCACACUCUCGUCUGUUCCUUUGCAGGGCAUCUCCGCGAUCGGCCUCCAGCGGGCCUCCGUGAACGCUGCUCUGGUUUUCACCACACUCUGUCACCGGUGGCUUUGGAUUCAGCCAUCUUCAUCUAGAGCUGGACUUCGCAGAGCAUCUAAAUGAAACCAGGCCCCAGGACCUAACACACACACGGUCAGGAAGCGCACUAAGUCACCUCUGGAAGGACACCGGAGGCCACUCCACACGGGAGGUUCAGCAACCCCCUUGGUCGCACCGGUUCUCUGAGAUUUCGCGCAGAGUGGAAUCUGUGAAAAGCCUGAAUUCAGGCACUCCAGCCGAAAGACCUCAUUCCUGCGCUAAGAGAGCAGAGGGACCUGAUCAAGGUGCGAGGAGAGCCCUCCACCGGCUUUUUCCUCCGCGAAGCCUGGUGCCA
RNAcentral lists this long non-coding RNA (581 nucleotides) under Mustela putorius furo (domestic ferret). RNAcentral describes it as "lncRNA (ENSMPUG00000028869.1)". The record is from RNAcentral. Lineage: Eukaryota; Metazoa; Chordata; Mammalia; Carnivora; Mustelidae.